GGGGGUGUGGCGGAAUCGGUAGACGCUGCAGAUUUAAAAUCUGUUUCUUGCAAGAGAGUGAGAGUUCAAGUCUCUCCAUCCCCA
RNAcentral lists this transfer RNA (84 nucleotides) under Waterburya agarophytonicola KI4. It matches the Rfam family "tRNA". From Rfam's summary of the family: Transfer RNA (tRNA) molecules are approximately 80 nucleotides in length. Lineage: Bacteria; Bacillati; Cyanobacteriota; Cyanophyceae; Pleurocapsales; Pleurocapsaceae. The record is from Rfam by way of RNAcentral.